This 96-nucleotide microRNA precursor is filed under the name Marmota monax (woodchuck). Lineage: Eukaryota; Metazoa; Chordata; Mammalia; Rodentia; Sciuridae. The record is from RNAcentral.
AGUGAAAUUUCUGGGUCAUAUUUGUUUUUAACAUUUUGAGAAACUGCCAAAUAGUUUUCUAAAGUAGCUGCACCAUUUUACAUUUCCACCAGCAAU